RNAcentral lists this ribosomal RNA (253 nucleotides) under uncultured bacterium. Its description in RNAcentral is "partial 16S ribosomal RNA". It matches the Rfam family "Bacterial small subunit ribosomal RNA", at positions 524 to 776 of the family's 1533-position model. The record is from RNAcentral.
UACGUAGGGGGCUAGCGUUGUCCGGAUUUAUUGGGCGUAAAGAGCGUGUAGGCGGCCAGGUAGGUCUGCUGUGAAAACUCGAGGCUUAACCUCGAGAUGUCGGCGGAAACCAUCUGGCUAGAGUCCGGAAGAGGAGAGUGGAAUUCCUGGUGUAGCAGUGAAAUGCGCAGAUAUCAGGAAGAACACCCGUGGCGAAGGCGGCUCUCUGGGACGGUACUGACGCUGAGACGCGAAAGCGUGGGGAGCGAACAGG